UUUCUAGAUGCAAUGUUUUAUAUUUAAGAUCAAUAAGAACUUGUAGAUGCAGCAGAAAAUCUUAGUAGCGAUAUUUGGUCGAAUAGUCCUUAGGUGCAAUGACUAAACCCCGUCCUUUCCUUGCUCCACGAUAGACUGUUUCAAUGAUAUCAAUGAACUCCUGCUUAUCCUUAAGUGCCCAGUUUAUCUUAUUGUUGUUUCCAGUACCAAGAUCAAUCAUUAUGUGCUUGUUUCUAAAGAAGAACAUGACAGUGGAAGGAUCAUACAGCUCGUACAUUGUGUUGAAAUCAGGAACCUCUGUGAUAUCCACAAGGUAUAUUACAGCAAAG
This 329-nucleotide unclassified non-coding RNA is filed under the name Hevea brasiliensis (rubber tree). Lineage: Eukaryota; Viridiplantae; Streptophyta; Magnoliopsida; Malpighiales; Euphorbiaceae. The record is from RNAcentral.